Non-coding RNA from Phrynosoma platyrhinos (Desert horned lizard), 73 nucleotides. NCBI's taxonomy places the organism in Eukaryota, Metazoa, Chordata, Lepidosauria, Squamata, Phrynosomatidae. The record is from the annotation of a GenBank genome assembly.
GCCAAUGUGGUAUAGUGGUUUGAAUGUUGGACCAAGACUCUGGGAAAGCAGGGUUCGAAUCCCUGCUCUGUCA